GGAAGGUGAUGAUGCAGCAACCAGUGAUGGGGACGAAGAAGAUGAUGAUGACUUGAAGGUCGAUGAAGCUAAGGUUGAUGAGAGCAGGCAGAUGGACUUUGCAAAGGUUGAAAAACGUGUUCGAACUACUGGUGGUGGUAGCACAGGAACUGUUAGGUAUGGACUACAAAACAUCAUCACGUAAUGUCUAAUUGGUUGGAUUCUUUUAUUUGAUGCACUAAUCGUGUAACCCUUCUUCUUGAUUUCAGGAAUCUGCGUAUCAGAGAAGACACAGCGAAAUACCUGUUGAACCUUGAUAUCAAUUCGGCUCAUUAUGACCCUAAAACACGAUCCAUGCGUGAAGACCCACUUCCAGAUGCAGAUCCGAAUGAUAAAUUUUAUUUGGUUAGUUGUAGUUUAUCGCUAUUGUAUCCCGCAUUCUGAUAAUCUAAGGUACUAAACCAUAUUUUUGCUUACCAUCUAUCCAGGGAGAUAAUCAGUAUAGAAACAGUGGACAAGCUCUAGAGUUCAAACAGAUGAACAUCCACUCAUGGGAAGCAUUUGACAAGGGACAGGACAUGCAUAUGCAAGCGGCUCCAUCCCAAGCUGAGUUGCUAUACAAGAACUUCAAGGUCGCGAAGGACAAACUGAAGACUCAGACAAAGGACACAAUCAUGGAGAAGUAUGGGAAUGCUUCUACAGAAGAUGAAAUUCCAAUGGAGCUUUUGCUUGGGCAGAGUGAAAGACAAGUUGAGUAUGACCGAGCAGGGAGGAUUAUAAAGGGACAGGUACGGUUUUUAAUAUUUUAACUUCACGAACCAUUCACUCAGAGCAAUGUGAACUCCUUGUGGUAUGUUGUGCUUUUGUGUGGAUCGAUUUGAUUCUUAAUAGGUGUUUGUUUUGUACACAGGAGGUUAUACUGCCAAAGAGCAAAUACGAAGAAGAUGUUCUUGCUAACAAUCACACAAGCGUUUGGGGCUCAUGGUGGAAAGACCAUCAAUGGGGAUAUAGAUGUUGCCAGCAGACAAUUCGCAAUAGUUACUGCACAGGCUCUGCUGGUAUUGAGGCCGCGGAGGCAUCCCUUGAUCUGAUGAAGGCUAACAUUGCUCGCAAAGAAGCCUGUGAAGGUUUGUGUUGCUGACUCUGUUUGUUAUUUCAGUUCCUUAUAUCUUUUUAUUGGAUUGGUUGAAAAAACUGCUCGAGGAAUAGCUUAUGACACACACACUUCUGCGUAUGUUUUUGUAAUGUUGUUGUUUGUACGCAUGUGCUAACAAAACAAUGAAUGGUGUUUUUGGUGAACAGAGAGCCCAAAGAAGGUUGAAGAGAAGAGAAUGGCCGCAUGGGGAUCUGAUGUUCCUGAAGAUUUGGAGUUGAACGAGGAGGCACUUGCUAAUGCUCUUAAAAAGG
Molecule: long non-coding RNA, 1386 nt
Filed under: Brassica rapa (field mustard)
Lineage: Eukaryota; Viridiplantae; Streptophyta; Magnoliopsida; Brassicales; Brassicaceae
Description: long non-coding RNA (BRAP_LNC006209)
Source: RNAcentral